CGCGUAGGCGGUAUUUUAAGUCGACGGUUAAAGAUCAUGGCUUAACCAUGGGAGUGCCGUUGAUACUGGAAUGCUAGAGGGUGGUAGAGAGGAGUGGAAUUCUCGGAGUAGCGGUAAAAUGCGUAGAUCUCGAGAGGAACACCGAUGGCGAAGGCAGCUCCUUGGGCCACAACUGACGCUAAGGCGCGAAAGCGUGGGGAGCAAACAGGAUUAGAUACCCUGGUAGUCCACGCUGUAAACGAUGAUUACUGAAUAUGGGGCGCGCAAGCGUGUUCCGUGUUGAAGCACACGCGUUAAGUAAUCCGCCUGGGAAGUACGGUCGCAAGAUUAAA
RNAcentral lists this ribosomal RNA (332 nucleotides) under uncultured bacterium. RNAcentral describes it as "bacterial SSU rRNA". It matches the Rfam family "Bacterial small subunit ribosomal RNA", at positions 568 to 898 of the family's 1533-position model. The record is from RNAcentral.